RNAcentral lists this transfer RNA (85 nucleotides) under Alphaproteobacteria bacterium. Its description in RNAcentral is "tRNA-Ser". It matches the Rfam family "tRNA". Rfam says of the family: Transfer RNA (tRNA) molecules are approximately 80 nucleotides in length. Their secondary structure includes four short double-helical elements and three loops (D, anti-codon, and T loops). Further hydrogen bonds mediate the characteristic L-shaped molecular structure. tRNAs have two regions of fundamental functional importance: the anti-codon, which is responsible for specific mRNA codon recognition, and the 3' end, to which the tRNAs corresponding amino acid is attached (by aminoacyl-tRNA synthetases). tRNAs cope with the degeneracy of the genetic code in two manners: having more than one tRNA (with a specific anti-codon) for a particular amino acid; and 'wobble' base-pairing, i.e. permitting non-standard base-pairing at the 3rd anti-codon position. The record is from RNAcentral. Lineage: Bacteria; Pseudomonadati; Pseudomonadota; Alphaproteobacteria.
GGAGGGAUGGCAGAGUGGUCGAUCGCGUCGGUCUUGAAAACCGAAGAGCCGAAAGGUUCCAGGGGUUCGAAUCCCCUUCCCUCCU